RNAcentral lists this ribosomal RNA (401 nucleotides) under uncultured Eubacteriales bacterium. Its description in RNAcentral is "bacterial SSU rRNA". It matches the Rfam family "Bacterial small subunit ribosomal RNA", at positions 355 to 774 of the family's 1533-position model. The record is from RNAcentral. Lineage: Bacteria; Bacillati; Bacillota; Clostridia; Eubacteriales.
UGGGGAAUAUUGCACAAUGGAGGAAACUCUGAUGCAGCGACGCCGCGUGAGCGAAGAAGGCUUUCGAGUUGUAAAGCUCUGUCCUCAAGGACGAUAAUGACGGUACUUGAGGAGGAAGCCCCGGCUAACUACGUGCCAGCAGCCGCGGUAAUACGUAGGGGGCAAGCGUUGUCCGGAUUUAUUGGGCGUAAAGGGUGCGUAGGCGGUCCUUUAAGUCAGAUGUGAAAGAACGAGGCUCAACCUCGUCAAGCAUUUGAAACUGAAGGACUUGAGUUAAGGAGAGGAAAGUGGAAUUCCUAGUGUAGCGGUGAAAUGCGUAGAUAUUAGGAGGAAUACCGGUGGCGAAGGCGACUUUCUGGACUUAAACUGACGCUGAGGCACGAAAGCGUGGGGAGCAAACA